Molecule: ribosomal RNA, 217 nt
Filed under: Alexandrium margalefii
Lineage: Eukaryota; Dinophyceae; Gonyaulacales; Pyrocystaceae
Description: partial Bacterial large subunit ribosomal RNA
Rfam family: Bacterial large subunit ribosomal RNA
Source: RNAcentral
GCCAAUUAAAGCGGUACGUGAGCUGGGUUUAGAACGUCGUGAGACAGUUCGGUCCCUAUCUGCCGUGGGUGUUGGAUACUUGAGAGGAGCUGUCCCUAGUACGAGAGGACCGGGAUGGACGUACCUCUGGUGUACCGGUUGUUCUGCCAAGGGCAUCGCCGGGUAGCUAUGUACGGACGAGAUAACCGCUGAAAGCAUCUAAGCGGGAAGCCCCCCU